Molecule: long non-coding RNA, 351 nt
Filed under: Malus domestica (apple)
Lineage: Eukaryota; Viridiplantae; Streptophyta; Magnoliopsida; Rosales; Rosaceae
Description: long non-coding RNA (MDOM_LNC007593)
Source: RNAcentral
GUUCAGGUAUUGUACAUGGCUUGAAUACCUUGAUUACCAUAUAUGCUUUGAUGUGCUUCGUGGAGGUGAUUGUCCAUUCCUAACUGUUGGUGUGUCAUGUUCUCCAUAGGUUUAUAUGUUUCCAGGGCAUCCAAUGCCACCUGUCUCGGAAUGUGCCAUCUUGUUGCUACCAUGUUUCCAUGUUUCCAGGGCAUCCAAUGCCACCUGUCUCGGAAUGUUGGCACCGAGUUUGCCUACCAGGUACUGAUGGUUGGCAAAUCCCAUACGCUGAACGUAUUCAACGAUUUAGACAGACUUUUGGUUCGGAUGUAGCUACUCAAGAGAUGCAGUCGCUCAAUAACUGUUGACAUG